This 903-nucleotide ribosomal RNA is filed under the name uncultured Bacillota bacterium. RNAcentral's name for it is "bacterial SSU rRNA". It matches the Rfam family "Bacterial small subunit ribosomal RNA", at positions 1 to 897 of the family's 1533-position model. The record is from RNAcentral. Lineage: Bacteria; Bacillati; Bacillota.
GGAUCCAGACUUUGAUCAUGGCUCAGGAUGAACGCUAGCUACAGGCUUAACACAUGCAAGUCGAGGGGCAGCAUGGUCUUAGCUUGCUAAGGCCGAUGGCGACCGGCGCACGGGUGAGUAACACGUAUCCAACCUGCCGUCUACUCUUGGACAGCCUUCUGAAAGGAAGAUUAAUACAAGAUGGCAUCAUGAGUCCGCAUGUUCACAUGAUUAAAGGUAUUCCGGUAGACGAUGGGGAUGCGUUCCAUUAGAUAGUAGGCGGGGUAACGGCCCACCUAGUCUUCGAUGGAUAGGGGUUCUGAGAGGAAGGUCCCCCACAUUGGAACUGAGACACGGUCCAAACUCCUACGGGAGGCAGCAGUGAGGAAUAUUGGUCAAUGGGCGAGAGCCUGAACCAGCCAAGUAGCGUGAAGGAUGACUGCCCUAUGGGUUGUAAACUUCUUUUAUAAAGGAAUAAAGUCGGGUAUGCAUACCCGUUUGCAUGUACUUUAUGAAUAAGGAUCGGCUAACUCCGUGCCAGCAGCCGCGGUAAUACGGAGGAUCCGAGCGUUAUCCGGAUUUAUUGGGUUUAAAGGGAGCGUAGAUGGAUGUUUGAGUCAGUUGUGAAAGUUUGCGGCUCAACCGUAAAAUUGCAGUUGAUACUGGAUAUCUUGAGUGCAGUUGAGGCAGGCGGAAUUCGUGGUGUAGCGGUGAAAUGCUUAGAUAUCACGAAGAACUCCGAUUGCGAAGGCAGCCUGCUAAGCUGCAACUGACAUUGAGGCUCGAAAGUGUGGGUAUCAAACAGGAUUAGAUACCCUGGUAGUCCACACGGUAAACGAUGAAUACUCGCUGUUUGCGAUAUACAGCAAGCGGCCAAGCGAAAGCGUUAAGUAUUCCACCUGGGGAGUACGCCGGCAACGGUGC